ACCCCGAGAAGUUGGACUUCUCACAGAGCAACGAGUGUCCUAGCGCCCCUCGCAGCUUGCCUGACGGGCCAUAGGUACAACCGGCCUUCCACGAGCUUGGCCCGCCCGCCCUGCUCUCCGCCCCGCCGUUCCCUCCGACUCCCCGCUUCGCUUCGCCACGCCCCCUGUCCGUGCCCUUCCCGCCACUCCCACGGUCAUGCGCAAUGACGCCAGGUCGCCACCGUUGGGGCUGACGCCCAGGUGGGGGUGGAGCUAACGACACUAACGGUCCUGGCUGUUGCUGAGGCUGCUUGGAACCCAAGCGAAAGCUCCGUGGCUGAUACUGGAAACCAUGAAUUCACUGGCGACAGUGGAAAUACCGGGGCCUGCGUAGGUGGAACUUGGGUUUUCAAAGUCCCCUCUCCCGCCCUCCCCUCCCUCCCUCAGGGCUGCCGGGAUCCUCGCUCUGGACCCCGCGCUCGGGCUCACUGCAGAGCGCCCCGGGGACCUCGCCCGGCUGAACCGUCCACACCUUGCUCGGGCCCCUUGGAAGGACUGUUGCCACGUUGUCACAGGAGAAGACGUCACAUGGACAGCCCUAAUUCCCGCGUUACACAGACAGAAACUCGGUGCCCCUGGAGGAUGCAGAACAGCAGAAAGUCUGUGGUCCAACUUUCUGGAGCAUCCAUUUUACUACGAGACUUGGAAGAAAGAAAGUUAGGUAAUUUCUGAGGGAAAUCCUUUCAGGCUACGUCCCCGAGUUCUGGAGUCCUGUGUCUGUGAUGAUUCUUUGCCAACAUCUGAGUACAAACAUGCCCUAAGGUUGUGAUCAACUGGGCUGAGAGAGAGUGAGCUGAACUGCCUGGUGUCCGAGUAGCCAAUUAAACUAACAAACCAAAAAUAAAGGAAUUAAACCCUUACCCGCUUACGGUGAUGGUAUAAGCAAGAGACUGAAACUGGAGAAAAUAU
Long non-coding RNA from Diceros bicornis minor, 948 nucleotides. RefSeq lists it as uncharacterized. Lineage: Eukaryota; Metazoa; Chordata; Mammalia; Perissodactyla; Rhinocerotidae. The record is from RefSeq and is a predicted model, not a curated record. The transcript has 3 exons.